GUUUAUAUUGCUGGUAUUUUGAGAGAUUACUUUGUCAGUGAAAUCCAUUGAGAAAUAGGUAUCGGAGGAAAACAGAAAUCAUUUUUAUCCUGAUAAGGCUGUUAUAAGGAUAUGCCAUAUAUUCUGGCAACAAUAGGUUUGCAGAAUGAUAUAGAAUCAGUUACCCUCCCUGUCUCAGGCAGAGGUGGAAAAACAGAGGGGUUCCUGGUAGAGGCUUGUCUCUCUAAUACUACCCCAUGGAGUAGGUAGGACUAUGUGUGCCCUUCAGACAGGCUGCCUCCCCAAAGAGAGACAAAAAGAAGGAAUUGAACUACUCAUGCUCAGUUUUUUCUUUCAGAGGGCAGAGAAUGGUCAGGAGUGUUCUGUAAUGUCACUAUCUCACAUGGGAAUGUCAGGAGUGGGGAAUGAUUGUGGGAGAGGUGUGCUUGUCUGUUGAAGUCUUCCCUAAUGUUAUAGCUUCUGAUUUCAUUGAUUCACAUUGAAGCCUGGAAUAAACACAGUAUUUCCUUUCAGCUAGGUGUGGAAACAUGGCAAAGUUCUGGCCCAUUAAAAGUGAAGUGUGGCAACUUCUUUAAAAGAUAAGUGACAGAGUAUGGCUGUGUCGACCAGGCU
This 612-nucleotide long non-coding RNA is filed under the name Pan troglodytes (chimpanzee). RNAcentral's name for it is "long non-coding RNA NONPTRT012149". The record is from RNAcentral. Lineage: Eukaryota; Metazoa; Chordata; Mammalia; Primates; Hominidae.